Molecule: ribosomal RNA, 254 nt
Filed under: uncultured prokaryote
Description: partial 16S ribosomal RNA
Rfam family: Bacterial small subunit ribosomal RNA
Source: RNAcentral
GACGAAGGUGGCAAGCGUUGUUCGGAAUCACUGGGCAUAAAGCGUGCGUAGGCGGCCAGAUCAGUCGGGUGUGAAAUCCCUCGGCUCAACCGAGGAACUGCGUCCGAUACUGUUUGGCUUGAGGUCCGGAGGGGAGAGUGGAAUUCCCGGUGGAGCGGUGAAAUGCGUAGAGAUCGGGAAGAGCGCCGGCGGCGAAAGCGACUCUCUGGUCGGAUCCUGACGCUGAGGCACGAAAGCUAGGGGAGCAAACGGGA